RNAcentral lists this transfer RNA (72 nucleotides) under Camelus bactrianus (Bactrian camel). It matches the Rfam family "tRNA". Rfam says of the family: Transfer RNA (tRNA) molecules are approximately 80 nucleotides in length. Their secondary structure includes four short double-helical elements and three loops (D, anti-codon, and T loops). Lineage: Eukaryota; Metazoa; Chordata; Mammalia; Artiodactyla; Camelidae. RNAcentral also lists the same sequence under 1 other name. The record is from Rfam by way of RNAcentral.
GUGGGUGUAGCUCAGUGGUAGAGCACAUGCUUAUCGUGCAUGAGGUCCUGGAUUCAAUCCCCAGGACCUCCA